Long non-coding RNA from Peromyscus leucopus (white-footed mouse), 181 nucleotides. RefSeq lists it as uncharacterized. The record is from RefSeq and is a predicted model, not a curated record. The transcript has 2 exons. NCBI's taxonomy places the organism in Eukaryota, Metazoa, Chordata, Mammalia, Rodentia, Cricetidae.
AGACCCAGCUUUUAUACCGAAGAACUGGACUUGUGCUGCACUGCCAGUGGCCUCCUGAUUCCAAGAAAACUAUCAUCACUGUUGCCUCCCAUCUGCUCAUAGUCGCUGGCCAGUCCUUCUCUGAACUCAUUCCAAGACUUCAUCAUCAUCAUCAUCAUCAUCAUCAUCAUCAUCAUCAUCA